CCGUGGCGGCUAACACAUGCAAGUCGAGCGGAUGACAGGAGCUUGCUCCUGAAUUCAGCGGCGGACGGGUGAGUAAUGCCUAGGAAUCUGCCUGGUAGUGGGGGACAACGUUUCGAAAGGAACGCUAAUACCGCAUACGUCCUACGGGAGAAAGCAGGGGACCUUCGGGCCUUGCGCUAUCAGAUGAGCCUAGGUCGGAUUAGCUAGUUGGUGAGGUAAUGGCUCACCAAGGCGACGAUCCGUAACUGGUCUGAGAGGAUGAUCAGUCACACUGGAACUGAGACACGGUCCAGACUCCUACGGGAGGCAGCAGUGGGGAAUAUUGGACAAUGGGCGAAAGCCUGAUCCAGCCAUGCCGCGUGUGUGAAGAAGGUCUUCGGAUUGUAAAGCACUUUAAGUUGGGAGGAAGGGCAGUAACUUAAUACGUUGCUGUUUUGACGUUACCGACAGAAUAAGCACCGGCUAACUCUGUGCCAGCAGCCGCGGUAAUACAGAGGGUGCAAGCGUUAAUCGGAAUUACUGGGCGUAAAGCGCGCGUAGGUGGUUUGUUAAGUUGGAUGUGAAAGCCCCGGGCUCAACCUGGGAACUGCAUUCAAAACUGACAAGCUAGAGUAUGGUAGAGGGUGGUGGAAUUUCCUGUGUAGCGGUGAAAUGCGUAGAUAUAGGAAGGAACACCAGUGGCGAAGGCGACCACCUGGACUGAUACUGACACUGAGGUGCGAAAGCGUGGGGAGCAAACAGGAUUAGAUACCCUGGUAGUCCACGCCGUAAACGAUGUCAACUAGCCGUUGGGAGCCUUGAGCUCUUAGUGGCGCAGCUAACGCAUUAAGUUGACCGCCUGGGGGAGUACGGCCGCAAGGUUAAAACUCAAAUGAAUUGACGGGGGCCCGCACAAGCGGUGGAGCAUGUGGUUUUAAUUCGAAGCAACGCGAAGAAYCUUACCAGCCCUUGACAUCCAAUGAACUUUCCAGAGAUGGAUUGGAUGGCCUUCGGACAUUGAGACAGUGCCUGCAUGACUGGUCGUCAGCUUCGUGUUCGUGCAAGAAGGUUG
RNAcentral lists this ribosomal RNA (1051 nucleotides) under Pseudomonas sp. RNAcentral's name for it is "bacterial SSU rRNA". The record is from RNAcentral. Lineage: Bacteria; Pseudomonadati; Pseudomonadota; Gammaproteobacteria; Pseudomonadales; Pseudomonadaceae.